This 89-nucleotide transfer RNA is filed under the name Allobosea sp. RAC05. RNAcentral's name for it is "Bosea sp. RAC05 tRNA". It matches the Rfam family "tRNA". From Rfam's summary of the family: Transfer RNA (tRNA) molecules are approximately 80 nucleotides in length. Lineage: Bacteria; Pseudomonadati; Pseudomonadota; Alphaproteobacteria; Hyphomicrobiales; Alloboseaceae. The record is from Rfam by way of RNAcentral.
GGAGACAUGGCCGAGAGGCUGAAGGCACCCGUCUGGAAGUCGGGCAGACCCGUAACAGGGUCUCGGGAGUUCGAAUCUCUCUGUCUCCG